This 484-nucleotide ribosomal RNA is filed under the name uncultured bacterium. RNAcentral describes it as "partial 16S ribosomal RNA". It matches the Rfam family "Bacterial small subunit ribosomal RNA", at positions 30 to 507 of the family's 1533-position model. The record is from RNAcentral.
AUUGAACGCUGGCGGCAGGCCUAACACAUGCAAGUCGAGCGGAUGAAGGGGGCUUGCUCCUGGAUUCAGCGGCGGACGGGUGAGUAAUGCCUAGGAAUCUGCCUGGUAGUGGGGGAUAACGUGCGGAAACGGGCGCUAAUACCGCAUACGUCCUGAGGGAGAAAGUGGGGGAUCUUCGGACCUCACGCUAUCAGAUGAGCCUAGGUCGGAUUAGCUAGUUGGUGGGGUAAAGGCCUACCAAGGCGACGAUCCGUAACUGGUCUGAGAGGAUGAUCAGUCACACUGGAACUGAGACACGGUCCAGACUCCUACGGGAGGCAGCAGUGGGGAAUAUUGGACGAUGGGCGAAAGCCUGAUCCAGCCAAGCCGCGUGUGUGAAGAAGGUCUUAGGAUUGUAAAGCAAUUUAAGUUGGGAGGAAGGGCAGUAAGUUAAUACCUUGCUGUUUUGACGUUACCAACAGAAUAAGCACCGGCUAACUUCGUG